CUAGGACCCUGGGAUCAUGACCUGAGCCGAAGGCAGAUGCUUAACUGACUAAGCCACCCAGGCCUUUUGACACAAUUCCACAAUUCUGGUGUCCAAGAUCUGGAAUCAGAAAGCUUUCAGAGGAGCCUGGUUCUUCUUAGUGGGAAAUGGUAUUUAGAGACCACAGUCUGAGUGCUAGUAUCAAUAAGUAUUGAUACCAGAAAUAGAGCAAUCCAUUCUUAAGUUCAUAUGCAGUCUCAAGGGACCCUGAAUAGCCAAAACAUCUGGAAAAAGAAGAACAAAGUUGAUUUUAAAACUUACUACAAAAGAAUACUAAUCAAACCAAUAUGGUACAGAUAUAUAGACCAAUGAAAUAGAAUAGAUAGCCCAGAAAAAUAAAC
Molecule: long non-coding RNA, 380 nt
Organism: Ailuropoda melanoleuca (giant panda)
Lineage: Eukaryota; Metazoa; Chordata; Mammalia; Carnivora; Ursidae
Exons: 3
Source: RefSeq, a predicted model, not a curated record